CCUACGGGAGGCAGCAGUCGAGAAUCAUUCACAAUGGGGGAAACCCUGAUGGUGCGACGCCGCGUGGGGGAAUAAAUGUCUUCGUAUUGUAAACCCUUUCCAUGUGGGAGCAAAUUAAAAUGAUAGUAUCACAAGAGGAAGCGACGGCUAACGCUGCGCCAGCAGCCGUGGUAAUACAGCGGUCUCAAGCGUUCUUCGGAAUCACUGGGCGUAAAGCGUGCGUCGGCUGUUUCGUAAGUCGUGUGUGAAAGGCGCGGGCUCAACCCUCGGACGGCAGAUGAUACUGCGAGGCUAGAGUAAUGGAGGGGGAACCGGAAUUCUCGGUGUAGCGGUGAAAUGCGUAGAUA
This 347-nucleotide ribosomal RNA is filed under the name uncultured bacterium. Its description in RNAcentral is "partial 16S ribosomal RNA". It matches the Rfam family "Bacterial small subunit ribosomal RNA", at positions 338 to 696 of the family's 1533-position model. The record is from RNAcentral.